Molecule: long non-coding RNA, 278 nt
Filed under: Equus asinus (donkey)
Lineage: Eukaryota; Metazoa; Chordata; Mammalia; Perissodactyla; Equidae
Description: lncRNA (ENSEASG00005035135.1)
Source: RNAcentral
CCAAAGAUUGAGUUCAAUAUGUUCAAUAGGUGCAGAGAGCUUCUGGUUCAUGAACACGUUGAAAAUUCGGAGAGUGGCAUGCCCAGAGGGAGCCUGGGAGUUCCAUGUCCCUUCACCACAUCUCUUGCUAUCAUUCUCAGGCACAGACUCUCACUGUCGGUCCAGAGUGACUGCGGAGCUGCAUUCCUCUCCUGAUAACCCAGGACGUAUCAAGAGCCUUGGGGAUCACUUGGAAACGCCACGCCUCAUGGCAGCCCCAGUCAACGGGAAGGGCUGAG